AUUAAUGGAAUAAUACUUAAUGGGUUAAUGGAUUAAUAUGGUAUCAUGGGAGUAGGACUGGUGGCUUGAUGAGAAGAGGAAGAGAGACCUCAGUAAACAUUCGAGGGUGCUCGGCUCCUUCCCCAUGUGAUGCUCUGUAUUGCCUUGGGAUCAUGCGGAGUCCCCACCAGCAAGAAGACUCUCACCAGAUGUGGCCCUUUGACCUUGGACUUCUCAGACUCCAUACCUAUUUGGAUGGCAAAUCGUCUUUCUGCAAUUGUUUUAUGGUUGCCAUUGCAAUUAAGAAAUGGAAAAUAAAUUUCUGAGAUCCAACAAAGUCUGAUCUCAUCAGCAUCAGAACCAUGUAUGGAAAGAGACAACAAAACUCAGACCUAAGAGGAUGACAAAAUAGAAAGACCAGCGGGAGUGGGAAAAAUCCUCAUAAGUGGAGCAGUUGAAACUUGGGAAUAUAUAGCCUUAGAAAAUUGCAGCUGGAGACAUCUGUCAUUUAGUCCUCAAAACUGCCCAAAGCCCUGAUAAGUGGCUGAAGACUGACGCUGCCCGAACAUCUCGGAGGCCCCCUGUACCAUCGUGGUUGCUGAGCUUUGGGUAACUCUUACGGUGGAGGGUAAGUCGAUUCCCUUCUUAAUCAAUAUGGCACCUUCCACUCCGCACUGUCUUCUUUUCA
Molecule: long non-coding RNA, 667 nt
Organism: Sapajus apella (tufted capuchin)
Lineage: Eukaryota; Metazoa; Chordata; Mammalia; Primates; Cebidae
Exons: 3
Source: RefSeq, a predicted model, not a curated record